This 113-nucleotide microRNA precursor is filed under the name Prunus dulcis (almond). Its description in RNAcentral is "sRNA ncRNA". The record is from RNAcentral. Lineage: Eukaryota; Viridiplantae; Streptophyta; Magnoliopsida; Rosales; Rosaceae.
AGGAUGAGAAGGGAGGAUGAGAGGGAGAAGUAACAAAAGUGAAAACAAUUUCAAAUAGAUUUCACUUUUGUUACUCCUCCCUCACGUCCUCCACUCUCAUUCCCACUUUCAUU